GUAGUACUUUCCCCGUUCCGAAUUACUUGUCGCAUGUAUGAAUGUAUUUAGAUGUAUUUUAGUUCUAGAUACAUUCAUUUCUGCGACAAGUAAUUUGGAACGGAGGAAGGAGUAC
Triticum urartu is the source of this 115-nucleotide non-coding RNA. The record is from Rfam. NCBI's taxonomy places the organism in Eukaryota, Viridiplantae, Streptophyta, Magnoliopsida, Poales, Poaceae.